CAGCCGUAAACUAUGCGCGUUAGGUGUAUCGGUGACCACGAGUUACCGAGGUGCCGAAGGGAAACCGUGAAACGUGCCGCCUGGGAAGUACGGUCGCAAGGCUGAAACUUAAAGGAAUUGGCGGGGGGAGCACCACAACAGGUGGAGCCUGCGGUUUAAUUGGGCUCAACGCCGGACAACUCACCGGGGACGACAGCAAUAUGUAGGCCAGGCUGAAGACCUUGCCUGAAUCGCUGAGAGGAGGUGCAUGGCGUAGACGUCU
This 262-nucleotide ribosomal RNA is filed under the name uncultured archaeon. RNAcentral describes it as "partial 16S ribosomal RNA". It matches the Rfam family "Archaeal small subunit ribosomal RNA", at positions 748 to 1009 of the family's 1478-position model. The record is from RNAcentral.